Zonotrichia leucophrys gambelii is the source of this 2042-nucleotide long non-coding RNA. RefSeq lists it as uncharacterized. The record is from RefSeq and is a predicted model, not a curated record. The transcript has 3 exons. NCBI's taxonomy places the organism in Eukaryota, Metazoa, Chordata, Aves, Passeriformes, Passerellidae.
GCAAUGAAUUCAGGAUUUCCUUAUCUUGCCAUACUGGGGGGAUGGGGAACCUGGUGGUAAAACUUAGAAACAGUCUUGGUGGGAGGUUCAAGAUGAUAAUCAAUGGUAUAAUGUUGAGAAGAAAGACAACUUUGAAUGUGAAUAUGCAAUGAAAGAUAAAUAAGAGGCAAGUCUUACAUUCCAAAUUUCCCUUUGGGCCAUGCAAUAGGUGUGAAAGCACAACAGUUGCACCAGAAGACAACCAUGUUUGGAGAAGAGAAUUUCAAAUCUGACUUCUCUGUGCUUCAGCUCUUCACAAGUGGUUAAAACAGUUCCCUGGUUCUGUCCCCAAAGAAAACAUCCAGUGCAGAAUCACAGAAUAGAAUCAUGGAAUUGUUUAGACUGGAAAAGACCUUUAAGAUCAUCAUCAAUGUUUAUGGCCAACCUCAAAGCCUUCUGAAAACAGAGGGAUUAAAUGAAAAUACUGUAAUAAAUUUAGUUGUAUUAAUUUGAGCCAGAAGAAAUAGAGAAGUUUAAUUACCAAGGCUGAACUGGAAAACCUCAAAAACUGCUCCUGUAUGGCUUGUGUCUGCUUUAGCUCAUCUGAUAAAUUGGAUACUUUUACAAAAAAACAGCUUAAGAGUUUGUUCAGUAACAUUUUAUCAUUGGAAUACUGAAAGCCAAGCUCAUCACUCAGUAAAGAAAAUGUUUGCCUGGAGCAAGAAAAAAAAGACUCAGGUUUCUGUUUUCUUCUGAAAUCAACUUUUAAGUCAGCUGUCAAAAAAAUCUGGUCUUUGGCCUGACUUUUAGUAAAAUCUGAAUUACUCAAGUUCUCAUAUAAAACCACAGAUAAAUGCAGAUUAGCCAAGAAACCUUAAUGCAUUCCUGGUUAGUUAGACUAGCCAAGUAUACCUUAAUUCAUCUUUCUUCUGCAGGGGGUUUUAGACAAAUACAUGUUUAUGUUAAACUGCUAACACUAAUGUCUACUUCUAAAUAUUUUCAGAUAGAUGGCACUAGGCCUUUCCUUCUGCAGAAACAGUAACUUAGGGGACAGCUACAAACACAGAGUGACCUGCCAGUGGUUGUGCCCUUCAGUGCUCAUUGAAGGGCAAUGAAUCUUUAAUCCAGCAUAUAGAUCUCCCUAAUUUAGUUAUUCCAAAUCUGACAGCUCAGCUGGCGGUGGCUCCUCAGGCUGCAAUUGCUGAGACUCUGCAGAACAGCAAGGGGUGCAGCCCCCUCCUCUGAGCAGGACUGGGGUGUCCCUUCAAUCACAGCAAGGCUGGGGAGCAACACACGCCACCACCUCGCCUUGCUUUACAUCUGCUACUCUUUAACACUUGGAUCCAAAGCUUUCAAUGAGUUACUCAGGUCUUAAAAAAAUCCUGCUCCCUCUGUGCUGUACAGUGGUAAAGUCAUGCUGACAGUUCAGGAAUUACUCAGUCACCAUCUCCAGGCUUGCUGGAGCUCAAGCAGGCCUUUUGGCUUUCUGCUAGUAGUGUGAUCCUCCUUAUUUCAGCCUCAGGAAUGGGUUUGCUGUGGAUAUCAGUGAGGACACUCAUUUUCCACAAUGUACAGGGACCUCACCAAAGGCCUUGAAAGGCAGAUGAGGGAGAGGACAGAGAUUUGCUCUGGUCAGAGGUGUGCAAUCUUGAAGGAACUUUCUAAAUCUUGCAUCAAGUUCUGCAGGGUUCCCUUUCAUCUACUGAAUGCCCAAGAACUGCCCACUUAUGUUCAAGAGAAGCUCUAACACAUGAGCACUACAUCAGGGACACCAGAGACCAUUCACAUUGCAAUUGCUUUAACACAUCUCCCCAGGAGCCCUGGAUUCCCAGGCUGUCCCCUGCCUGACCAAGCCAGGUCUGCCCUGGCCACCAACCUCCCUGACCUUUGGGGAGUGGCCAUGGGAAGGGUCCCUCGCAGGCCCCUCUGUCCCCCUGCCCAAAACCAAGUCCUUUUGCUCGAGACAGGGGUCUCUGGUGAGGAGCAGGUCAUGAAGGCUGUACAGCAUGAAGUGAGGGCAGAAACGGAUGGACAUGUUUUGAUCCCUGCACUUUCUGUUAACA